This 226-nucleotide ribosomal RNA is filed under the name Streptomyces sp. SceaMP-e96. RNAcentral describes it as "23S rRNA. Bacterial LSU". It matches the Rfam family "Bacterial large subunit ribosomal RNA", at positions 2701 to 2925 of the family's 2925-position model. The record is from RNAcentral. Lineage: Bacteria; Bacillati; Actinomycetota; Actinomycetes; Kitasatosporales; Streptomycetaceae.
ACGAACCUCUGGUGUGCCAGUUGUCCUGCCAAGGGCAUGGCUGGUUGGCUACGUUCGGAAAGGAUAACCGCUGAAAGCAUCUAAGCGGGAAGCCUGCUUCGAGAUGAGGACUCCCACCCCCUUUGAGGGGUUAAGGCUCCCAGUAGACGACUGGGUUGAUAGGCCAGAUAUGGAAGCCCGGUAACGGGUGGAGUUGACUGGUACUAAUAGGCCGAGGGCUUGUCCU